CCUCUAGGUUGAUGGGUUGAUGCCUUAAUAGGAUUAACCCCCAUGAGAGUGUUAUUGAAUAAUGCAUGAACCCAUUAAGUUCAAGAAAAGUAAAGGGUGAAACAACCAUUAGGUUGAGAAACACGUGGGUAAUUCUUAGAAUUCAAUAAUUAUUGCAUUUGAACACUUAAGUUAGAACUCUAGUGCAAGUUCACAACCCUAACUGUUUGAACAUCUUGGUGAGCAUA
This 227-nucleotide long non-coding RNA is filed under the name Capsicum annuum. RNAcentral describes it as "long non-coding RNA (CANN_LNC017286)". Lineage: Eukaryota; Viridiplantae; Streptophyta; Magnoliopsida; Solanales; Solanaceae. The record is from RNAcentral.